UGAGGCUUCUGCAGGUUUGUUUGAUCACCUGCCUUUCUACUUCUACGUUUAUGACCCUGCUGACGCCCGGGGAGAGGGCAGCACAGCUAGCCAGUCAGGAUGCUCUAAAGGUCAAGGGACCUCCACUGAGGCCAAUGAGCCCAAGGUUGCCAGGAUCAGAAGCAAACAUCCCUUAAGAGGAUACAACAGUGAGAGGCCACGCCCACAUCCAUGCUCCCAGUCUGGUUUCCAGACUUGGGCAUUCCGUCUAUGGGACAGCACCAUACAUGGCUGCUGGUUUAAGAGGCUCAAAAACGGAAGUGAGUCAUGUCUGCCUGUGUCCACCCUUCCGGUUUUAUCUUGGCAUUUCCGCUAUCUCACCCCAGCACGAAGAGAUCAGUGAUCUAGAUGGCUCACCUGGCAUUUUCCAACCCUGCAUGGUAUUCGCCAAUGAUUCUCUGCCCUUUUACCUUCUCCCUUCAUCAGAUUUUGGUGUCGGGGUUAUGUGAUUUGUUAAAUAAAUUAAUAACUUUCCUU
Molecule: long non-coding RNA, 516 nt
Organism: Neofelis nebulosa (Clouded leopard)
Lineage: Eukaryota; Metazoa; Chordata; Mammalia; Carnivora; Felidae
Exons: 3
Source: RefSeq, a predicted model, not a curated record